RNAcentral lists this RNase P RNA (396 nucleotides) under Luteolibacter sp. RNAcentral's name for it is "RNase P RNA component class A". It matches the Rfam family "Bacterial RNase P class A". Rfam says of the family: Ribonuclease P (RNase P) is a ubiquitous endoribonuclease, found in archaea, bacteria and eukarya as well as chloroplasts and mitochondria. Its best characterised activity is the generation of mature 5'-ends of tRNAs by cleaving the 5'-leader elements of precursor-tRNAs. The record is from RNAcentral. Lineage: Bacteria; Pseudomonadati; Verrucomicrobiota; Verrucomicrobiia; Verrucomicrobiales; Verrucomicrobiaceae.
GCCGCUCCCCGGACGGUCGCAGGCUCCGCGCAAGCGGGGCUUGAGGAAAGUCCGGACACCACAGGGCAACGCGCCUCAUGAAAGUGAGGGACGGGAACCGCGAGGGACCCGGACGGAAAGUGCAACAGGAAGCAUACCGCCGAUGGCCCGCAAGGGCACAGGUAAGGAUGAAAUGGUGGGGUAAGAGCCCACCGCGCCGAGGGUAACCGGAGCGGCACGGCAAACCCCGCGUGGUGCAAGACAGAACAGGGGAAGGGCUGCCCGCCCGUUUAAUCUCCGGGUAUUAGUCGCACUCCGCGCAAGCGGGGCGCUCCGCCUCGGCGGGGUGAGAGAAAUGGCCGUCCAGUUCCGCGCAAGCGGGAUGGACAGAAUCCGGCUUACAGGGGAGCGGCACCC